CCAAUCUUGACAUGGAGCCACUGGCAGAGGUUUCCCUUGCUAUUCAUUUAUUUAAUUUUCAUUUUGUCAUGAGGAAAGAAGGCUGACUCUCAGAAUACUUUGAUGGAAGGACUUCCUUCUGCUUGGACUCCCUUGAUGGCUGAUUUUUGUCACACAAAUGAGGCUGGAGUGCAGUAGUACAUGGCUGGUGCAAACAUGGCUCGCUGCAGCCUGGAAGCCCUGGACUCAAGCAAUCCUCCCACCUCAGCCUCUUUCAUAGCUGGUAUCACAGAUAGACAAACUGUGGUCGGUGAAGCACAGGAAUUUGCUGAAAGUUACUCAGCUGGUAACCCACUGCGCGGCACAGCAGCAGCAGAGGAGGCCCAGGCAUUUGCCUGUUGCAAAUAAGGAGACCAAGGCUCAGGAAGUCACGUGGCUCCAGCCAGGCAUCCCUGCCCCGCAGUGGCUCAGCAAGGCCUCUCGCCACU
RNAcentral lists this long non-coding RNA (467 nucleotides) under Homo sapiens (human). Its description in RNAcentral is "HSALNT0154257". The record is from RNAcentral. Lineage: Eukaryota; Metazoa; Chordata; Mammalia; Primates; Hominidae.